RNAcentral lists this ribosomal RNA (302 nucleotides) under uncultured bacterium. Its description in RNAcentral is "bacterial SSU rRNA". It matches the Rfam family "Bacterial small subunit ribosomal RNA", at positions 191 to 480 of the family's 1533-position model. The record is from RNAcentral.
GGUUCCGUUGUGAAAGGCGCUGCAAGGCGCCACUAAAAGAUGAGGGUGCGGAACAUUAGUUAGUUGGUGAGGUAAUGGCCCACCAAGACUAUGAUGUUUAGCCGGGUCGAGAGACUGAACGGCCACAUUGGGACUGAGAUACGGCCCAAACUCCUACGGGAGGCAGCAGUAGGGAAUAUUCCACAAUGAGCGAAAGCUUGAUGGAGCGACACAGCGUGCACGAUGAAGGUCUUCGGAUUGUAAAGUGCUGUUAUAAGGGAAGAACAUUUGCAAUAGGAAAUGAUUGCAGACUGACGGUACCA